This 72-nucleotide transfer RNA is filed under the name Heliconius melpomene (postman butterfly). RNAcentral describes it as "tRNA HMEL009351". It matches the Rfam family "tRNA". Rfam says of the family: Transfer RNA (tRNA) molecules are approximately 80 nucleotides in length. Their secondary structure includes four short double-helical elements and three loops (D, anti-codon, and T loops). Further hydrogen bonds mediate the characteristic L-shaped molecular structure. tRNAs have two regions of fundamental functional importance: the anti-codon, which is responsible for specific mRNA codon recognition, and the 3' end, to which the tRNAs corresponding amino acid is attached (by aminoacyl-tRNA synthetases). tRNAs cope with the degeneracy of the genetic code in two manners: having more than one tRNA (with a specific anti-codon) for a particular amino acid; and 'wobble' base-pairing, i.e. permitting non-standard base-pairing at the 3rd anti-codon position. The record is from RNAcentral. Lineage: Eukaryota; Metazoa; Arthropoda; Insecta; Lepidoptera; Nymphalidae.
GAACGUAUAGCUUAGUGGUAGAACCUCUUUGAGGGUUUCCAAGAACCGCGGGUUCAAAUUCCGCCACGUUCG